UACGGAGGAUCCGAGCGUUAUCCGGAUUUAUUGGGUUUAAAGGGUGCGUAGGCGGUUUGAUAAGUUAGAGGUGAAAUGUCGGGGCUCAACCCCGAAACUGCCUCUAAUACUGUUGGACUAGAGAAUAGUUGCGGUAGGCGGAAUGUAUGGUGUAGCGGUGAAAUGCUUAGAGAUCAUACAGAACACCGAUUGCGAAGGCAGCUUACCGAACUAUAUCUGACGUUGAGGCACGAAAGCGUGGGUAGCAAACAGG
This 253-nucleotide ribosomal RNA is filed under the name uncultured bacterium. RNAcentral describes it as "partial 16S ribosomal RNA". It matches the Rfam family "Bacterial small subunit ribosomal RNA", at positions 524 to 776 of the family's 1533-position model. The record is from RNAcentral.